CCCGAAAAGUCGAAUGGGGAGAUUCAACGUCACCGGAGGCGGCUUCCGUGCGUUUAGCGAUGUUUGAGACGGCGCGUUCACGCGUGUUCGUUGAUUUCACGCUUACGCCGCGGCAUGUCCGUUAACGCCGGCGUGCACUUCUCCCCUAGUAGAACGUCGCGACCCGCUAGGUGUCGGUUUAAGGACCAAGGUCGUAGACUGUUUUCGUUUCGCGUCUUCGGGCGUUUAAUCGUUAACAGACGCUUGGCAUCCCGACCGUCUGCCUGGCGGUAUUCGAACUUGAGGCAUACGGCCGCAUUUGAAUGCGUUCUUGACUCUUGGCAAGCUCGUUCGGCAUUUAUUCCCGGAGGUUGCGAAGCCUUACGGUUUCGUCCCUGGGUGUCGUUCGGCUGUUGGCCGUAGAUGUUCUCGAACCGGCUUGCGUAUUGCCCGUCAGCGACGCUAUUGCUUUGGGUACUUUCAGGACCCGUCUUGAAACACGGACCAGGGAGUCUAACAUGUGCGCGAGUCAUUGGGACGAUAAAACCUAAAGGCGUAUUGAAAGAGAAGAUCGACUUUACGUCGAUUCAGGGAGGAUGGGCGACGUUUCGUACGUUGCCUCGCACUCCCGGGGCGUUUCGAUGUCAUUGCGACAUGGGGCGCACCAAGAGCGUACACGUUGGGACCCGAAAAGAUGGUGAACUAUGCCUGGUCAGGAUGAAGUCAGGGGAAACCCUGAUGGAGGUCCGUAGCGAUUCUGACGUGCAAAUCGAUCGUCGGAACU
Molecule: ribosomal RNA, 763 nt
Filed under: Macroteleia sp. M385
Lineage: Eukaryota; Metazoa; Arthropoda; Insecta; Hymenoptera; Scelionidae
Description: eukaryotic LSU rRNA
Rfam family: Eukaryotic large subunit ribosomal RNA
Source: RNAcentral